RNAcentral lists this ribosomal RNA (490 nucleotides) under uncultured bacterium. Its description in RNAcentral is "partial 16S ribosomal RNA". It matches the Rfam family "Bacterial small subunit ribosomal RNA", at positions 29 to 506 of the family's 1533-position model. The record is from RNAcentral.
GUGAACGCUGGCGGUAGGCCUAACACAUGCAAGUCGAACGGCAGCACAGUAAGAGCUUGCUCUUACGGGUGGCGAGUGGCGGACGGGUGAGGAAUACAUCGGAAUCUACUUUUUCGUGGGGGAUAACGUAGGGAAACUUACGCUAAUACCGCAUACGACCUACGGGUGAAAGCAGGGGAUCUUCGGACCUUGCGCGAUUGAAUGAGCCGAUGUCGGAUUAGCUAGUUGGCGGGGUAAAGGCCCACCAAGGCGACGAUCCGUAGCUGGUCUGAGAGGAUGAUCAGCCACACUGGAACUGAGACACGGUCCAGACUCCUACGGGAGGCAGCAGUGGGGAAUAUUGGACAAUGGGCGCAAGCCUGAUCCAGCCAUACCGCGUGGGUGAAGAAGGCCUUCGGGUUGUAAAGCCCUUUUGUUGGGAAAGAAAAGCAGCAGGUUAAUACCCCGCUGUUCUGACGGUACCCAAAGAAUAAACACCGGCUAACUUCGU